This is a long non-coding RNA of Mesocricetus auratus (golden hamster), 595 nucleotides long. RefSeq lists it as uncharacterized. Lineage: Eukaryota; Metazoa; Chordata; Mammalia; Rodentia; Cricetidae. The transcript has 2 exons. The record is from RefSeq and is a predicted model, not a curated record.
AAGGAGAAUGAGAAGUAAAACUCUUGCAGCUGGGGAUGCAGCUCAGUGAUGACAGUACUGGCCUGGCAUGUGCACGGCCCGGCCGAGUCAGACCCCAGACACUAGGAAAAGAAGCUGCUGGCUAGAAAGGCCAUUCUCACUGCCUCCUCGUCUCAUCUCUGAGGCAGGCCUGCAGCUUACUAUAUAGACCGGCCUGCCCCAGCCUCCACAGCACGGGAAUUAAAGAUGUACAAAACGAAACCUCAACUUUUAAGUGGACUGGAGAGAGAUCUCUGUGGUUAAAGUACAUGCCAUGCAAGUAAAAGCAAGUUCGAUUCCUACAAGAUGGAUACGGAGCUAUCUCCAAUCUCAGCACUCCUACAGCAAGGGGGGGGCAGAGAAAGGAGGACCCAAAGCUUAUGGGUCUGGUAGCCUGGCGCACAGGCAAAGUAGAAGAGGUCCAAGACCAACACCCAAAGUGAAUGAAUGGAAUGGCAUACCCAGGCCCUCCUCUCCCCAAGAGAAGAUAAACGGGUGAUCUUAUGACUUUGAGUACAGGCUCUAGUCUGUUAUUAGGCUAUCUGACCCAAAACAAAUUACAUGAAUUCUUGUGAAA